RNAcentral lists this ribosomal RNA (269 nucleotides) under uncultured archaeon. Its description in RNAcentral is "partial 16S ribosomal RNA". It matches the Rfam family "Archaeal small subunit ribosomal RNA", at positions 477 to 747 of the family's 1478-position model. The record is from RNAcentral.
CAGCUCUCCGAGUAGUGUGGACGAUUAUUGGGCUUAAAGCGUCCGUAGCCUGCUUAGCAAGUCUCCUGUUAAAUUCAGCGACCUAAUCGUUGAGCCGCGGGAGAUACUACUAGGCUAGGAGGCGGGAGAGGUCGACGGUACUUCUGGGGUAGGGGUGAAAUCCUAUAAUCCCGGGAGGACCACCAGUGGCGAAGGCUGUCGACUAGAACGCGCUAGACGGUGAGGGACGAAAGCUGGGGGAGCGAACCGGAUUAGAUACCCGGUAGUCC